Molecule: ribosomal RNA, 878 nt
Filed under: uncultured Gammaproteobacteria bacterium
Lineage: Bacteria; Pseudomonadati; Pseudomonadota; Gammaproteobacteria
Description: bacterial SSU rRNA
Rfam family: Bacterial small subunit ribosomal RNA
Source: RNAcentral
UGCAAGUCGAACGUGAAAGCACUUCGGUGUGAGUAGAGUGGCGGACGGGUGAGUAACGCGUGGGAAUCUGCCCAGUAGUGGGGGACAACUACCGGAAACGGUAGCUAAUACCGCAUACGCCCUAUGGGGGAAAGGCUUCGGCCGCUACUGGAUGAGCCCGCGUCAGAUUAGCUAGUUGGUAGGGUAAAGGCCUACCAAGGCAACGAUCUGUAGCUGGUCUGAGAGGACGAACAGCCACACUGGGACUGAGACACGGCCCAGACUCCUACGGGAGGCAGCAGUGGGGAAUAUUGGACAAUGGGCGAAAGCCUGAUCCAGCAAUGCCGCGUGUGUGAAGAAGGCCUGCGGGUUGUAAAGCACUUUCAGUUGGGAAGAUGAUGACGUUACCAACAGAAGAAGCACCGGCUAAAUCCGUGCCAGCAGCCGCGGUAAUACGGAUGGUGCGAGCGUUAAUCGGAAUUACUGGGCGUAAAGCGCGCGUAGGCGGCUAAGUCAGUCAGAAGUGAAAGCCCCGGGCUCAACCUGGGAAUUGCUUUUGAUACUGCUUGGCUAGAGUUUGGUAGAGGAUAGUGGAAUUCCAGGUGUAGCGGUGAAAUGCGUAGAUAUCUGGAGGAACAUCAGUGGCGAAGGCGACUGUCUGGACCAAAACUGACGCUGAGGUGCGAAAGCGUGGGUAGCAAACAGGAUUAGAUACCCUGGUAGUCCACGCCGUAAACGAUGUCAACUAGCCGUCGGGUCUAUUUACAGACUUGGUGGCGCAGCUAACGCGAUAAGUUGACCGCCUGGGGAGUACGGCCGCAAGGUUAAAACUCAAAGGAAUUGACGGGGGCCCGCACAAGCGGUGGAGCAUGUGGUUUAAUUCGAUGCAACGCGAAGAA